AAUCAACGCUGGCGGCGUGCCUAACACAUGCAAGCCGAACGAGAAAGUGGAGCAAUCCAUGAGUACAGUGGCGAACGGGUGAGUAACACGUGACUAACCUACCUUCCAAUGGGGGAUAACCUCGGGAAACCGGGGCUAAGACCGCAUAACCUCGUGAGGUGAGAUUCCUUGCGAGCAAAGGGGUAAGACGCUGGAUGAGGGGGUCGCGGCCGAUUAGCUAGUUGGCGGGGUAACGGCCCACCAAGGCGAUGAUCGGUAGCCGGCCUGAGAGGGCGCACGGCCACACUGGAACUGAAACACGGUCCAGACUCCUACGGGAGGCAGCAGUGGGGAAUUUUGCACAAUGGGGGAAACCCUGAUGCAGCAACGCCGCGUGGAGGAUGAAGUCCCUUGGGACGUAAACUCCUUUCGACCGGGACGAUAAUGACGGUACCGGUGGAAGAAGCCCCGGCUAACUCCGUGCCAGCAGCCGCCGCGG
This 478-nucleotide ribosomal RNA is filed under the name uncultured bacterium. RNAcentral describes it as "partial 16S ribosomal RNA". It matches the Rfam family "Bacterial small subunit ribosomal RNA", at positions 29 to 523 of the family's 1533-position model. The record is from RNAcentral.